GUUCUUCGGAUUGUAACCUAGUGGCGANCGGCUGAGUAACACGUAAGUAACCUGCCUUGGAGUGGGGAAUAACUUCCGAAAGGCGAACUAAUACCCCAUGUGGUAAUGAAGCGUAANCUUCAUUAUUAAAGCUUUCGGGCGCUCCGAGAGGGACUUGCGUCUGAUUAGCUAGUUGGUAGGGUAAUAGCCUACCAAGNCGAUGAUCAGAGCUGGUCUGAGAGGAUGGUCAGNCAGAUGGGGACUGAGACACGCCC
Molecule: ribosomal RNA, 254 nt
Filed under: uncultured eubacterium Wineub82
Lineage: Bacteria
Description: partial 16S small subunit ribosomal RNA
Rfam family: Bacterial small subunit ribosomal RNA
Source: RNAcentral